CCAUGUUGCAUCAUCGUCAUCGAUGCUUGCCUUUGGCUACAGAACGGGAAAGGCGAUGUACUCGAGCCUCCUCCGACGGCCAUGUAACGGCAGACAAAUGCUCCUGCUCACUUUUCCAGCAGCGAAACUCCUUCUUGGCUCGCUCCUCCUCGCCCUGGUGGCGCUACCCGGCUGGAGACCGCGGCUUCCGCGUCUGCUCGCAGAAGAAACGUACGUGUGGCGAAGCCGGAGACCAAGCGCCCGACCGCUCUUUGGGCACACGCAUCCGCGCGAUACGUCGGCGAGGCUGUAGGCCGUUUGCGAGGUUGCCGCCUUCUUGAGGUGCGGCCGCUGCAAGGCCGUACGCUAUCUGUGGAAACACAAGGUGAAAGCUUUCGGUAGGAUCCAUGGAUCUUGACUUCAGCAUGUGUUUUGGUUAUCUGAAAGUCAUGGACGUGACAUUACCAGAAAUCAAAUCAAAUAAGCGACGGUCAGUUUUCACUAUCCUACAAAUUACUUCAGAACUCUCUCCAUAUAAGUUCAUCUUUUUCAAAUUUAAAGCUUUCCAAAAGUCAGUUUCCGAGUUCCAGCCAAAUCCGGUGAACCACGCACCAACUUGGUCCACUUUCGCCAUAAUUGACACAAAUAUAAAUGAUUGUUUAUCCGCUUUGGACUUUUUUGCCUCUUAUGCUUUCUUAUUUUAAUGUACUGUUAAAUCUGGAGUUAUGUAAUCACCGUAAAUUCCCUUUUUGGGAACUAUGGGAAUAUAUUGGCUGGUGCAUUAUAACCCCUCCUUUGGGAACUAUGUCAUCUUGUAAGAAUUACAACUUUUUUGUUCUUACGAUGUUGUCUAGUCGUCAACAACCAUACCAGAAAGGAGAGUGCAAUCCAAAUUGGAUCAUCAAGCUGGGUUCUUCCAUGGCUCUAGUUACAUUCAAAACAAAGGCAGAGAGACUGUAAAGAAUCUGGAUAAGAUGGAGGCUUCUUUGUCUGCUAACAUAUCUGAGCAGCAGGGACAGUACUAAUUUACAGUUCCUAAGUUUCUGUUCAUUCUAAGCCAUCUCUGGAGGCAGUUUGAUGCUGCAAGAACCUACACAAGGCUGACUGAAGACGUGAAGCCUGUGAAGCUUCUGGCUAUAAGGGCAAAGCUAACACAACAGCUGAUAGGGAUGCCCUUUCUUCCGAGGUGCCCUUCUCUUUUUCUUAUGUCAACAUUUUUGGUAACUCCCAACAAUCCGUGGGCAUAUCCUGAGUUAGUGCCUAUGUGGUUGUGCUCUCAAGCUCAGAGAUCAACAUGUUGGCUGAAAGCCUCCACACCCUGAUUACUUGCAUGGACUAGGAAACUGAAACUGAUGACUGGAAAAAUACAAUGGAUCUCAUAUAUAUACAUGAUCCAGGGAGCAUUUAUUUAUAGUGGAUAUAUGGUUUCUUUUCCUGUGGGUGUUAGAGAGCAUUAUUGAUCAAUGGUUG
Molecule: long non-coding RNA, 1449 nt
Organism: Musa acuminata subsp. malaccensis (wild Malaysian banana)
Lineage: Eukaryota; Viridiplantae; Streptophyta; Magnoliopsida; Zingiberales; Musaceae
Source: RefSeq, a predicted model, not a curated record